AGAGUUUGAUCAUGGCUCAGAUUGAACGCUGGCGGAAUGCUUUACACAUGCAAGUCGACGGCAGCACGGGGGCAACCCUGGUGGCGAGUGGCGAACGGGUGAGUAAUACAUCGGAACGUGCCCAGUCGUGGGGGAUAACUACGCGAAAGCGUAGCUAAUACCGCAUACGAUCUACGGAUGAAAGCGGGGGAUCGCAAGACCUCGCGCGAUAGGAGCGGCCGAUGGCAGAUUAGGUAGUUGGUGGGGUAAAGACUCACCAAGCCUUCGAUCUGUAGCUGGUCUGAGAGGACGACCAGCCACACUGGGACUGAGACACGGCCCAGACUCCUACGGGAGGCAGCAGUGGGGAAUUUUGGACAAUGGGCGCAAGCCUGAUCCAGCCAUUCCGCGUGCAGGAUGAAGGCCCUCGGGUUGUAAACUGCUUUUGUACGGAACGAAACGCGCUGAGCUAAUACCUCGGCGUAAUGACGGUACCGUAAGAAUAAGCACCGGCUAACUACGUGCCAGCAGCCGCGGUAAUACGUAGGGUGCAAGCGUUAAUCGGAAUUACUGGGCGUAAAGCGUGCGCAGGCGGUUAUGUAAGACAGAUGUGAAAUCCCCGGGCUCAACCUGGGAACUGCAUUUGUGACUGCAUAGCUAGAGUACGGUAGAGGGGGAUGGAAUUCCGCGUGUAGCAGUGAAAUGCGUAGAUAUGCGGAGGAACACCGAUGGCGAAGGCAAUCCCCUGGACCUGUACUGACGCUCAUGCACGAAAGCGUGGGGAGCAAACAGGAUUAGAUACCCUGUAGUCCACGCCCUAAACGAUGUCAACUGGGUUGUUGGGUCUUCACUGACUCAGUAACGAAGCUAACGCGUGAAGUUGACCGCCUGGGGAGUACGGCCGCAAGGUUGAACUCAAGGAAUUGACGG
RNAcentral lists this ribosomal RNA (909 nucleotides) under uncultured bacterium. RNAcentral's name for it is "bacterial SSU rRNA". It matches the Rfam family "Bacterial small subunit ribosomal RNA", at positions 8 to 916 of the family's 1533-position model. The record is from RNAcentral.